UCUUGGUAGAAUGCCUUUUUUUCUGUAUGGCUUAAUUACUGUUGCUUGAAAAUGAAAUCUAAUUGGCAGGUAUGGUUGGUGGUGGGGGGGGGGGGGGGAUUGCUAAUACACCAAUGGAGAUUAUGGAUAAAAUUUGUCAGACAAAAAAAAUUAAACUUCAUCACAAAAACCAAAUUGUACCGGUAUAUCAAAAUCCUCAAUGAUAUCAUGGUCUUAGAAAGGAGGCAUAUUUGGCAAGGUGUCAGUAAUGCGAUCAGACAAGCAGCUGGUGGGACAGGGAAAUCAAGGCCAACUAUGCCCUCCCCGAGUCCCUGGGCGAUGCUAUGCCCAAAUACGCACUGCCAGCGAAAAUAUGCACCGUCACGGCCGAUUCAUCACAAUUCAGCACGUCAAUACACUGAGCAUGAAGGUUUUAGCUGGACGUGACAUCAACCCAACGACAGUCUUUAAAUUAAAUAUCAUAGAGGCGCAUGAUACAAAAAGAAGUGCUUUACGAUUAUUGUUAUUUCUCCGUUUGCCUACCCGGGCAUGUAACGUUAAAUUACUUAAACUAAACUGUUAAGCAUCAAAUCUUCGCAUUUCACGAAAAAAUAUUAUUUACAAGCAUUAUUCUAAAUGGUUUUGGCGUUUUAACCAGCUUCACCGAAUUCAUAUGGCACAACAAUGAUCACAAAAAAAUUUGAUUUUAACGUCUCGUGUGCAGCAGUGCGUCAUUUUGAUCGGUUUCAUUAAAGUGAUGAUCAGCUAGUGGGGAUCAGCUAGUUAUACUACGUUAGCUAAAUAGCAUUCUCUGAAACCUGGAGAUUUCUUCACAUCAUAUGACUGUAUCUUCCCACAACUGCUUUUUUCCUGAUACCCCAAGGGUACAACCAUAAAUAAGCAAGGGGAAAGCAGAGAGGGUUACAGACAGACAGGUUGGACCACAGCAUAGAUAGUACCAUGGCACGGAAUCAAACCCUCAACCAGGGGAGGGGAGAGGGGCAACUUGUAAAUGGUCAAGGAAUCGGCUGCCUCACGGACUAUGCCGUACACUUCGCCUGAAAGCCCAACUGUAACACAGGACUUUGACAUCGGAACAUGCCAUAAGAAAGGUUUCAGCCUUUCAGUCUGUGUUGGUUCAGCUGCGUUCAGUUACUCUGAGGUAUAAUUACAUUUCCCCACAGGUAAAAAAAAAAAGGUCCAGUUAUGGUGGAUUGUUAUCUUGUUUACUCCUUCUGAGUUGCACGCAGCUGCAGUUGCGGCUGGCAGGAAGUGCUUCCUGAGAAGACUUCCUAUCGGACAAGGGGAAUGGGGUCUUACGGCAUUGCCCCCUCCUGACGGCACAAUUUGUUCCGGCAGUAACCCGCAGCAACAGGACUAGAAUGGCUGUGUCAG
Anguilla anguilla (European eel) is the source of this 1374-nucleotide long non-coding RNA. RefSeq lists it as uncharacterized. The transcript is spliced from 3 exons. Lineage: Eukaryota; Metazoa; Chordata; Actinopteri; Anguilliformes; Anguillidae. The record is from RefSeq and is a predicted model, not a curated record.